This 274-nucleotide ribosomal RNA is filed under the name uncultured bacterium. Its description in RNAcentral is "partial 16S ribosomal RNA". It matches the Rfam family "Bacterial small subunit ribosomal RNA", at positions 523 to 796 of the family's 1533-position model. The record is from RNAcentral.
AUACGGAGGGUGCAAGCGUUGUUCGGAAUCACUGGGCGUAAAGGGCGCGCAGGCGGUUUGGUAAGUCAGAUGUGAAAGCCCACGGCUCAACCGUGGAAGUGCAUUUGAAACUGUCAGACUUGAGUACUAGAGGGGAAAGUGGAAUUCCCGGUGUAGAGGUGAAAUUCGUAGAUAUCGGGAGGAAUACCGGUGGCGAAGGCGACUUUCUGGCUGAAUACUGACGCUGAGGCGCGAAAGCGUGGGGAGCAAACAGGAUUAGAUACCCGAGUAGUCC